CCAGUGGAGGUUCAGUGGUAGAAUUCUCACCUUCCAUGUAGGAGACCCGGGUUCAAUUCCCAGCCAGUGAA
Molecule: transfer RNA, 71 nt
Filed under: Loxodonta africana (African savanna elephant)
Lineage: Eukaryota; Metazoa; Chordata; Mammalia; Proboscidea; Elephantidae
Rfam family: tRNA
About the family: Transfer RNA (tRNA) molecules are approximately 80 nucleotides in length.
Source: Rfam by way of RNAcentral